RNAcentral lists this transfer RNA (71 nucleotides) under Rothia kristinae. RNAcentral describes it as "tRNA-Cys". It matches the Rfam family "tRNA". From Rfam's summary of the family: Transfer RNA (tRNA) molecules are approximately 80 nucleotides in length. Their secondary structure includes four short double-helical elements and three loops (D, anti-codon, and T loops). Lineage: Bacteria; Bacillati; Actinomycetota; Actinomycetes; Micrococcales; Micrococcaceae. The record is from RNAcentral. RNAcentral also lists the same sequence under 1 other name.
GGUGAGGUGGUCGAGCGGUUAGGCAGCGGCCUGCAAAGCCGUGUACGCGGGUUCGAAUCCCGUCCUCACCU